CCAAAGGCUCUUUUCAGAGCCAUUUACCCCUUUCUUAUUAGUGAUC
RNAcentral lists this non-coding RNA (46 nucleotides) under Pelobates cultripes (western spadefoot toad). It matches the Rfam family "Histone 3' UTR stem-loop". From Rfam's summary of the family: The mRNAs of metazoan histone genes lack a poly-A tail. 3' end processing occurs at a site between a highly conserved stem-loop (modelled by this family) and a purine rich region around 20 nts downstream (the histone downstream element, or HDE). Lineage: Eukaryota; Metazoa; Chordata; Amphibia; Anura; Pelobatidae. The record is from RNAcentral.